UACGUAGGGUGCAAGCGUUAAUCGGAAUUACUGGGCGUAAAGCGUGCGCAGGCGGUGAUGUAAGACAGUUGUGAAAUCCCCGGGCUCAACCUGGGAACUGCAUCUGUGACUGCAUCGCUGGAGUACGGUAGAGGGGGAUGGAAUUCCGCGUGUAGCAGUGAAAUGCGUAGAGAUCGCGGAGGAACACCGAUGGCGAAGGCA
RNAcentral lists this ribosomal RNA (201 nucleotides) under uncultured bacterium. RNAcentral's name for it is "partial 16S ribosomal RNA". It matches the Rfam family "Bacterial small subunit ribosomal RNA", at positions 524 to 723 of the family's 1533-position model. The record is from RNAcentral.